Lagenorhynchus albirostris (white-beaked dolphin) is the source of this 1627-nucleotide long non-coding RNA. RefSeq lists it as uncharacterized. The record is from RefSeq and is a predicted model, not a curated record. The transcript is spliced from 3 exons. NCBI's taxonomy places the organism in Eukaryota, Metazoa, Chordata, Mammalia, Artiodactyla, Delphinidae.
CGGAGAGGAGCUGUGUCUCCGCAGGCACCACGGGAGCUUUGGCUGGGGCGACGGGGUCAGCUUCUCUGCUGAUAAGAGCUCAGUCUCCUUAGGACUUGCUGGGGUUUCGGCUUCAGGACAAAGUGGAGCUGCGUCCACGCUGACGGGAGCUGGGUUUCCUGACGACCCAGACGAUGCUGGGAGGAAAAGUGCGAGGGCUUCCCUGGUGGUGCAGUGGUUGAGAGUCCGCCUGCCGAUGCAGGGGACACGGGUUCGUGCCCCGGUCCGGGAAGAUCCCACAUGCCGUGGAGCGGCUGGGCCCGUAAGCCAUGGCCACUGAGCCUGCGCGUCCGGAGCCUGUGCUCUGCAAUGGGAGAGGCCACAACAGUGAGAGGCCCGCGUACCGCAAAAGAAAAAAACAGUACCCAUUUAUUCUCUAGUUCUGCCACAGGGAGACACCCUCCUUGAAAAGGCGUUAAAUCCUUCCGUUCACUUUAACACCUUGUGCUGAAAACACGUGUUCCAAGUUUUCAGCUAUGAGAUCCACAUUCUUAAAGCACUAAUUCUUAAACCUCAUCUAGAUUUCUCCCCUUGGAUGGGGGGAGAUGACCCAAACACAGCGAAGAACAGCUCAGAACUGUGAGCUCUGCUCGCCCAGAAGACUUUGCAGCUCCCCUGACCACCCGGCUGGAGCCAGGAUUAGGGCCUUGAGACGAGGAGCACCUGCUGGGCUGCCGCCACUGCCACCAGCCCCCUAACUCCUGUCCUCUUCACUGGCUUGCUGUCACCUCUAGUUUCCCUGGAGCUUGGGGAUUCCAGACGGUCUCUGCUCACACUUCUGCAUCACACCUGCUGCCUCAGCACUGCUGAUCCACACCAAGGGGGAAAAGCACACAGAACUGCUUUUCAACACACCAACGUUCCACAUAAAAGUUAUUUUAUAAGCCUGCAGGUUCUUUUUCAUCAGAGGACAUUCCCAAGGCCAUGACUUCCCCCAGCUCCCCACUGCCCUUGCCGGCAGACUGGGCAUGCUUGGUCACGGUGCUGAGUCGGGCACACGCCCCGGCUCCACUCAGGCGCACUCUCCUGGAGAACUGAGGGCAGUGCCCUGGGCUCAUCAGCAGGAUCUGUCCUGAAGCCAGUCCGAGAGUGACAAGAGCCACACCUGCAGGUCUGUUCCACUGACCAGCCGCACAGGACCGAGCUGGGCCCACGGACCUUGGUCUGGAUUGUGUUGGCUGGUCAUUCUUGCCUAGGUUCACAGACCAACAGCCAGUGUUCUUCCUUUCCUGCUCAUCACUGCACCAGCGGCUCACUCCUACCUGCUGCCGUCACACGCCUGGCAACCUCGUGUUCCGGGGCCAGCCAAGAACUGAGACCCCAGCAGGCCCCUAGUUCCCAGCAGGCAAAUUCCCCACUAAACUACUGCUGCCUAGCCGUGUUCUCGAGGCUUCAGAGCCGGGAAAGUGCGGAGAGCGUAGCAAGCCGCGGCGCCCCCAUCCCCGGACCUGCGAUGCACCGCGGAGGCGCCAGAACCUCGUCGCACCGCACUCCCCGCCCCAACACAAGCGACAUCAGCGCCCACCUGUCCCGGGGACCUGGGCGCACCUCCGGCCACCGCGACCCUGGACGGAGACGCGGGCGCAGG